GUCCCUGUAGCUCAGUUGGUAGAGCAUGGUGUUUGCAACGCCAGGGUUGUGGGUUCGAUUCCCACGGGGGGCC
Salmo salar (Atlantic salmon) is the source of this 73-nucleotide non-coding RNA. Lineage: Eukaryota; Metazoa; Chordata; Actinopteri; Salmoniformes; Salmonidae. The record is from Rfam.